Molecule: ribosomal RNA, 415 nt
Filed under: uncultured bacterium
Lineage: Bacteria
Description: bacterial SSU rRNA
Rfam family: Bacterial small subunit ribosomal RNA
Source: RNAcentral
ACUCCUACGGGAGGCAGCAGUGGGGAAUAUUGCACAAUGGGGGAAACCCUGAUGCAGCCAUGCCGCGUGUGUGAAGAAGGCCUUCGGUUGUAAAGCACUUUCAGUAGGGAGGAAGGUAGUGUAGUUAACACCUGCAUUAUUUGACGUUACCUACAGAAGAAGCACCGGCUAACUCCGUGCCAGCAGCCGCGGUAAUACGGAGGGGUGCGAGCGUUAAUCGGAAUUACUGGGCGUAAAGCGCAUGCAGGCGGCCUGUUAAGUCAGAUGUGAAAGCCCGGGGGCUUAACCUCGGAAUUGCAUUUGAAACUGGCAGGCUAGAGUCUUGUAGAGGGGGUAGAAUUUCAGGUGUAGCGGUGAAAUGCGUAGAGAUCUGAAGGAAUACCAGUGGCGAAGGCGGCCCCCUGGACAAAGACUG